RNAcentral lists this non-coding RNA (26 nucleotides) under Mus musculus (house mouse). Lineage: Eukaryota; Metazoa; Chordata; Mammalia; Rodentia; Muridae. The record is from RNAcentral.
UAAAGGAUUAAUCUGGCCCCAGAUGU